GACGAACGCUGGCGGCGUGCUUAACACAUGCAAGUCGAACGGAAAGGCCCUGCUUUUGUGGGGUGCUCGAGUGGCGAACGGGUGAGUAACAAGUGAGUAACCUGCCCUUGACUUUGGGAUAACUUCAGGAAACUGGGGCUAAUACCGGAUAGGAGCUCCUGCUGCAUGGUGGGGGUUGGAAAGUUUCGGCGGUUGGGGAUGGAUUCGCGGCUUAUCAGCUUGUUGGUGGGGUAGUGGCUUACAAAGGCUUUGACGGGUAGCCGGCCUGGGAGGGUGACCGGCCACAUUGGGACUGCGAGACGGCCCAGACUCCUACGGGAGGCAGCAGUGGGGAAUAUUGCACAAUGGGCGGAAGCCUGAUGCAGCAACGCCGCGGUCGGGAUGACGGCCUUCGGGUUGUAAACCGCUUUCGCCUGUGACGAAGCGUGAGUGACGGUAAUGGGUAAAUAAGCACCGGCUAACUACGUG
RNAcentral lists this ribosomal RNA (468 nucleotides) under uncultured bacterium. RNAcentral's name for it is "partial 16S ribosomal RNA". It matches the Rfam family "Bacterial small subunit ribosomal RNA", at positions 28 to 507 of the family's 1533-position model. The record is from RNAcentral.